RNAcentral lists this transfer RNA (63 nucleotides) under Muscina levida. RNAcentral describes it as "tRNA-Cys". The record is from RNAcentral. RNAcentral also lists the same sequence under 1 other name. Lineage: Eukaryota; Metazoa; Arthropoda; Insecta; Diptera; Muscidae.
AACUUUAUAGUCAAUAAAUGAUAUUAGACUGCAAUUCUAAAGGAGUGGUAAUCACUAAAGUUU